AUUGAACGCUGGCGGCAGGCCUAACACAUGCAAGUCGAAUGGUAACAGGAAACAGCUUGCUGUUUCGCUGACGAGUGGCGGACGGGUGAGUAAUGUCUGGGAAACUGCCUGAUGGAGGGGGAUAACUACUGGAAACGGUAGCUAAUACCGCAUAACGUCGCAAGACCAAAGAGGGGGACCUUCGGGCCUCUUGCCAUCAGAUGUGCCCAGAUGGGAUUAGCUAGUAGGUGGGGUAACGGCUCACCUAGGCGACGAUCCCUAGCUGGUCUGAGAGGAUGACCAGCCACACUGGAACUGAGACACGGUCCAGACUCCUACGGGAGGCAGCAGUGGGGAAUAUUGCACAAUGGGCGCAAGCCUGAUGCAGCCAUGCCGCGUGUAUGAAGAAGGCCUUCGGGUUGUAAAGUACUUUCAGCGGGGAGGGAGGGAGUAAAGUUAAUACCUUUGCUCAUUGACGUUACCCGCAGAAGAAGCACCGGCUAACUCCGUG
Molecule: ribosomal RNA, 490 nt
Filed under: uncultured bacterium
Lineage: Bacteria
Description: partial 16S ribosomal RNA
Rfam family: Bacterial small subunit ribosomal RNA
Source: RNAcentral